This is a long non-coding RNA of Salvia splendens (bonfire salvia), 613 nucleotides long. RefSeq lists it as uncharacterized. NCBI's taxonomy places the organism in Eukaryota, Viridiplantae, Streptophyta, Magnoliopsida, Lamiales, Lamiaceae. The record is from RefSeq and is a predicted model, not a curated record. The transcript is spliced from 2 exons.
UAUUCCUCCGUUCAUAGAACAAUUUCGCACUUCUUUCGGAAAUCAAACGUUAUGCAAAAUUUUGACAGAAACUGAAUCUGCAAAAUCCAGUGGGCUACUUCUUUCGGUCCUACAAUUUCACAACCAAUAUCGUGUUAUCGAGUAGCGGCGGACUCUCAAACCCAGGGGAUCGGCGGCGGAGAAGCUCAUCUUCGUCGCUGGAGAAAGCUGGAGCGAUGCGGCGGCAGAGUUCCUCCACUCCGACAGCGACGACGAUUGCGAAUCACCACGGAAGGCGGAGCUCGGGGAUGAACGCUGAGGAUGAAUUGACGGAAGAAUCAACAGCGGCGUCGGAGCGACUGAUGCGACUGGAGUGGCGUCGGGAAGCUGCUCCGGCAGCAUGAGGCGGAGGAAGGGAAACACCGCUGGAGACGAAAACGGAAGCGGAGGCGGAGGCGGCGCCGGUAAGGUGGCUGUCGACGGAAACUCUGAAAUGGGAAGAGAGAUUUUCUUUCCUAAUUUGUGAAAUUGGGGAAGGAGAUUGAAUAGGUUGUUAGAGAGAGAAACUGUCGGUGUGUGGGUGGAGUAUAUGGAUUAAUAAAUCCUAGAAUUGAGGGCUUCUUUUGUUUCCUAA